Molecule: ribosomal RNA, 270 nt
Filed under: Triticum aestivum (bread wheat)
Lineage: Eukaryota; Viridiplantae; Streptophyta; Magnoliopsida; Poales; Poaceae
Description: partial small subunit ribosomal RNA
Source: RNAcentral
AUGGAGAACCUGGACAUGGAGGGGCUGGAGCAGGCCUCCGUCGACACGCGGCUUGGCGCCUCCAACGUCGGCUUCAGGCUACUCCAGAAGAUGGGAUCCAAGUCCGGCAAGGGCCUCGACAAGAACGAGCAAGGUUUCUUUCUUUCCUCUACUCUCACCUGCUUGUUUACCCUCUCUCUAGGUUUGAUUCAGUUUAGUGGUUCGACAUGUGGUUCUAUCAAGUGUUGUCAGUCAUCAUCCCUGGCUGUUUCAUACUCCGCCAUCAGUUAG